UACAGUGGUCCCAAGCGUUGUUCGGAUUCACUGGGCGUAAAGGGUGCGUAGGCGGUCGGGUAAGUCUGAUGUGAAAUCUCACAGCUUAACUGUGAAACUGCAUUGGAUACUAUCCGGCUCGAGGAAUGGAGGGGAGACUGGAAUACUUGGUGUAGCAGUGAAAUGCGUAGAUAUCAAGUGGAACACCAGUGGCGAAGGCGAGUCUCUGGACAUUUCCUGACGCUGAGGCACGAAAGCCAGGGGAGCAAACGGG
RNAcentral lists this ribosomal RNA (253 nucleotides) under uncultured bacterium. RNAcentral's name for it is "partial 16S ribosomal RNA". It matches the Rfam family "Bacterial small subunit ribosomal RNA", at positions 524 to 776 of the family's 1533-position model. The record is from RNAcentral.